Molecule: ribosomal RNA, 479 nt
Filed under: uncultured bacterium
Lineage: Bacteria
Description: bacterial SSU rRNA
Rfam family: Bacterial small subunit ribosomal RNA
Source: RNAcentral
UGAACGCUAGCGGGAGGCUUAAUACAUGCAAGUCGCGGGGUAACGAUGAACUUCGGUUCAGUCGACGACCGGCGCACGGGUGAGUAACGCGUACACGACCUACCUUACACUGAGGGAUAGCCCUGGGAAACUGGGAUUAAUACCUCAUGGUAUUAGAUAAUUGCGAUUUUCUAAUUAAAGGUUUCGACUGGUGUAAGAUGGGUGUGCGUUAGAUUAGCUAGUUGGUAAGGUAAUGGCUUACCAAGGCGACGAUCUAUAGGGGGCGUGAGAGCGUGGACCCCCACACGGGUACUGAGACACGGACCCGACUCCUACGGGAGGCAGCAGUAAGGAAUAUUGGACAAUGGGGGCAACCCUGAUCCAGCCAUCCCGCGUGCAGGAUGACGGCCCUAUGGGUUGUAAACUGCUUUUAUCAGGGAAGAAAAUUACGGGUUUACCUGUAACUGACGGUACCUGAGGAAUAAGCACCGGCUAACUCC